AGUCGAACGGACUUAACCGAAAUAUUUAUAUUUUGGAGCGGUUAGUGGCGGACUGGUGAGUAACGCGUAAGCAAUCUGCCUAUUAGAGGGGAAUAACAGUGAGAAAUCACUGCUAAUACCGCAUAUGCCAUGAACAUCGCAUGAUGAAAAUGGGAAAGGAGUAAUCCGCUAAUAGAUGAGCUUGCGUCUGAUUAACUAGUUGGUGUGGUAAUGGCAUACCAAGGUAACGAUCAGUAGCCGGACUGAGAGGUUGAACGGCCACAUUGGGACUGAGAUACGGCCCAGACUCCUACGGGAGGCAGCAGUCGGGAAUAUUGCGCAAUGGAGGAAACUCUGACGCAGUGACGCCGCGUAUAGGAUGAAGGUUUUCGGAUUGUAAACUAUUGUCAUUAGGGAAGAUAAAAGACAGUACCUAAGGAGGAAGCUCCGGCUAACUACGUGCCAGCAGCCGCGGUAAUACGUAGGGAGCAAGCGUUAUCCGGAUUUAUUGGGUGUAAAGGGUGCGUAGACGGGAGAUUAAGUUAGUUGUGAAAGCCCUUGGCUUAACUGAGGAAUUGCAACUAAAACUGGUUUUCUUGAGUGCAGGAGAGGUAAGUGGAAUUCCUAGUGUAGCGGUGAAAUGCGUAGAUAUUAGGAGGAACACCAGUGGCGAAGGCGACUUACUGG
RNAcentral lists this ribosomal RNA (666 nucleotides) under uncultured bacterium. RNAcentral's name for it is "bacterial SSU rRNA". It matches the Rfam family "Bacterial small subunit ribosomal RNA", at positions 60 to 732 of the family's 1533-position model. The record is from RNAcentral.